UUUUUGGAAGCUUGCAACAGCAAUGAAUUUUUACUUCAUAAACAGGAUAUAUUUCCCCAAAAAA
This 64-nucleotide transfer RNA is filed under the name Nectoneanthes uchiwa. RNAcentral describes it as "tRNA-Lys". Lineage: Eukaryota; Metazoa; Annelida; Polychaeta; Phyllodocida; Nereididae. The record is from RNAcentral.